Molecule: ribosomal RNA, 422 nt
Filed under: uncultured prokaryote
Description: bacterial SSU rRNA
Rfam family: Bacterial small subunit ribosomal RNA
Source: RNAcentral
UGGGGAAUUUUCCGCAAUGGGCGCAAGCCUGACGGAGCAAUACCGCGUGAGGGAGGAAGGCUUUUGGGUUGUAAAGCUCUUUCGCCAGGGAUGAUAAUGACAGUACCUGGUAAAGAAACCCCGGCUAACUCCGUGCCAGCAGCCGCGGUAAUACGGAGGGGGUUAGCGUUGUUCGGAAUUACUGGGCGUAAAGCGCACGUAGGCGGACUAUUAAGUGAGGGGUGAAAUCCCGGGGCUCAACCCCGGAACUGCCUCUCAUACUGGUAGUCUUGAGUUCGAGAGAGGUGAGUGGAAUUCCGAGUGUAGAGGUGAAAUUCGUAGAUAUUCGGAGGAACACCAGUGGCGAAGGCGGCUCACUGGCUCGAUACUGACGCUGAGGUGCGAAAGUGCGGGGAGCAAACAGGAUUAGAUACCCCCGUAGU